This is a non-coding RNA of Yokenella regensburgei ATCC 43003, 114 nucleotides long. The record is from Rfam. NCBI's taxonomy places the organism in Bacteria, Pseudomonadati, Pseudomonadota, Gammaproteobacteria, Enterobacterales, Enterobacteriaceae.
CUUACCGGAGGCCGUAUGGAUCCUGAUCCCACGCCCCAUCCCCGAUGGAGCAACAAUCUAGUCCGGUAAGCUAGUCUUCACUGCUUUGCCGGAUGUGUAAGGCAGUGGCAUCUU